Molecule: long non-coding RNA, 1220 nt
Organism: Chelonoidis abingdonii (Abingdon island giant tortoise)
Lineage: Eukaryota; Metazoa; Chordata; Testudines; Testudinidae
Source: RefSeq, a predicted model, not a curated record
UCGAGCCCCGCUGGAUCAAUCGCUGCGCUCUUGUCCGGCAGGUAGUGUAGACAUACUCGCAGGCUGAGAGAAGCCUGGGACAUUGGAAGCCUGACUAGAGACUGGAAUGCUCCUCUCAGUAGUUGUUGAUGUUCAAUGGCAGUGCCAUGUCAUCAAUGUACCUCACAUGCCUGCCAGACCCUCUGGCAUCUGGCUUAUUGUACAGUGAAAUAUUUCUGGAGCCAUUCGUAUUCCACAAGACAGUUUUGGGAAUCAGUAUCUGCCAAAUGGUGAGUUGAAAGUGCAGAUAUCAGAGCACUCUGUCCAAGAGGAUCUACCAAAAUCCACCAAUGCAUCUAAUUUGCUGAAGAAUUUGGUUCUUGCCAUAUCAGACAACAGUUCACUUCUUGUGGAGACUGGCGGGAGGCAACAGAUUGAAAUAUCAGCAAUCCUGAGGUGAUGUGGCUGAAACUAUACAUGUGAGAAAGCAGGAAGAGUGUAUUACACUAAAACAGCCUUAGAGAGAAGUUCUGCUCUGAAGAUAUAUUACAGCAAUAUUCCAGGAAAGUGAGCUGCCAAUAACCAAGGAGGAGGACUUGCUGAUAGGCUGUAUUACUCAAAGCGUGACACAAGUGAAGAAAGGGGCAGCUUCAGUAUAUUCUAAGAUGAAGCUCAGCAAAUGAACAGAGGAGUGGAAAGCUGCUUUGAUUGCCCUCUGCCAGGUACCAGGAGGAAAAGCUGGUGCUAAUGUCAAAUCUGUUUGUGUUUUUUUGUUUGUUUGUUUUUUGUCUAGACAAAAUAUUUACAUAAAUGGUCAGAUUCGCAUCUGGCAUAGUACAAGCUUUGAAAACUUGAAUGAUUAAAAUUAAUUCCGUUGUGUUCACUAAUGUGGAGAUACACAAUGCUAUAGUAAAACCUUCCUUCAACAAAACCACAAUUGCAUUACCUGUCAAGUCUGGUAAUCCUGUAUACAGCCAGACCUGAAGAAGAGCUCUGUGUAAACUCGAUAGCUUGUCUCUCUACUAACAGAAGACGGCCCAAUAAAGAUAUUACCUUACCUAACUUGUCUCUCUACUAUCCCAGUACCAACAUGGCUUCAACAACACUGGCUAUAACAAGAUGUGUACAGGGGGUCCCCGGUAUACAUCAGGGUUGCAUUUUUGAAAAGGGCAAUGGAUACUGAAAUGACGGAUACUGGGGAAUGUUUCCGCAUAAGAAAUAAUGGUCCACCCGCCUCUUCC